UGAAAUAUAUGGUUAAAAUUUAAUGUUGACUUUGAAAUGAGAUUCUAAUUGAAUUUUAAUCCAAAACAAACAGACUUUAUAUUUCUACUCAGUGGACGCGAACUUUAAAGGAAUAAUUAUCUUCCAUCUUUCCCUGAUUUAUCGGAAUAUAAUUUCAUACUGACAGAAAAUAGAUUUCAUUAGAGUUAAAAGUUCUCACCUGUUAAUUAGUAAAUGCGAAUAUCUUUAUCAUGUUAACAUAUGCAAUAGACAUAUAUGUGGAACAUUGAUCAGUAGAAGUGUGUCCUCAGAUAAAAUCCUCUUGAGAAAAGUGUAUCAAUUUCUAUACCAAAAUUUUCACAAAAUACAAUGCCAGUGAUUACAUAAAUGUAAAGUCAUGUAUUCCAACUGAAUUUUUAUAUUCUAAUCGUUAAUCUAAAUAUGUAAUUACGUCUCUUGUUUGCAAGAAAAAACAUUGAAAUAAAAGAACAUAAAUGUGAUAAAAAGAGAACAAAAAGUGAGUAUAGAUUAUAUAGAAUUUAUCAAGAAACGUGAAUGGUUAUAUUUGAGAAUAUGGUCCAUAAUAACCCGAAACUGAGAUUACGUAUACUCUUAUCCUUUGUAUGAAGAGGAUGACGAGAAAAAGGAAUCAUUAUUAAGGACCACAAACGAAUGUCUAUUUUGGUGUCAAGCAAGCAUGUUUAGACAUUGAAAUUAUUGCU
This 701-nucleotide long non-coding RNA is filed under the name Olea europaea (common olive). Its description in RNAcentral is "long non-coding RNA (OEUR_LNC014300)". Lineage: Eukaryota; Viridiplantae; Streptophyta; Magnoliopsida; Lamiales; Oleaceae. The record is from RNAcentral.